CAGAGGGUUCUUUCCUAGUAUGUAGUCUACCUGCAUUAAUCAAAUGUUUGUGUAAGCUUAUAUGUUUUGAUUUAGAUGGGAUCUUGUUCAGACUUCAUAGGACUGUAAAUGAAUAUUGCAACCUAAACGUUGAAAAUGGGGUUGUCGGAGAGUAAUAAAAGCGUCAUGAUGCUAGGCGAAGCAGUGAAGUGCCGAACCCUAGAUGGCGAUAGUCCAGUAGCCGAAAGCAUCACUAGCUUACGCUUUCACUCGAGUAGCAUGGGGCACGUGGAAUCCCGUGUGAAUCAGCAAUGACCACCUUGCAAGGCUAAAUACUCUUGGGUAACCGAUAGCGAAGUAGUACCGUGAGGGAAAGGGUGAAAAGAACCCCCGUCGGAGAGUGAAAUAGAACAUGAAACUG
Molecule: non-coding RNA, 400 nt
Filed under: Gossypium hirsutum (cotton)
Lineage: Eukaryota; Viridiplantae; Streptophyta; Magnoliopsida; Malvales; Malvaceae
Description: Bacterial large subunit ribosomal RNA
Rfam family: Bacterial large subunit ribosomal RNA
Source: Rfam by way of RNAcentral